UACGUAGGCAGCGAGCGUUGUUCGGAAUUACUGGGCGUAAAGAGUGUGUAGGCGGUGCUCCCAGUCUGUUGUGAAAUCUCCCGGCUUAACUGGGAGGGUGCAGCGGAAACUAGAGUGCUAGAGGGUGGGAGAGGUAAGCGGAAUUCCUGGUGUAGCGGUGGAAUGCGCAGAUAUCAGGAGGAACACCGGUGGCGAAGGCGGGUCUCUGGGCAGUAACUGACGCUGAGGAGCGAAAGCGUGGGGAGCGAACAGG
Molecule: ribosomal RNA, 253 nt
Filed under: uncultured bacterium
Lineage: Bacteria
Description: partial 16S ribosomal RNA
Rfam family: Bacterial small subunit ribosomal RNA
Source: RNAcentral